Molecule: small nuclear RNA, 121 nt
Filed under: Sphenodon punctatus (tuatara)
Lineage: Eukaryota; Metazoa; Chordata; Lepidosauria; Sphenodontia; Sphenodontidae
Description: U4 spliceosomal RNA (ENSSPUG00000008421.1)
Rfam family: U4 spliceosomal RNA
About the family: U4 small nuclear RNA (U4 snRNA) is a component of the major U2-dependent spliceosome.
Source: Rfam by way of RNAcentral
AGCUUUGCCCAGGGGCACUAGCAUAUCCCGGGAGGUUUAACUGAGGAGUGAUUGUUGCUAGUUGGAAAACCUACCCCCUACCCCCCAACAGCAGAGCGGCCUGAACUCUGGGCAAUAGCCC